RNAcentral lists this ribosomal RNA (371 nucleotides) under uncultured organism. RNAcentral describes it as "partial 16S ribosomal RNA". It matches the Rfam family "Bacterial small subunit ribosomal RNA", at positions 527 to 896 of the family's 1533-position model. The record is from RNAcentral.
GUAGGGUGCGAGCGUUAAUCGGAAUUACUGGGCGUAAAGCGUGCGCAGGUGGUUUUGUAAGUCAGAUGUGAAAUCCCCGGGCUUAACCUGGGAACUGCGUUUGAAACUGCAAGGCUAGAGUGUGGCAGAGGGGGGGUGGAAUUCCGCGUGUAGCAGUGAAAUGCGUAGAGAUGCGGAGGAACACCGAUGGCGAAGGCAGCCCCCUGGGUCAACACUGACGCUCAGGCACGAAAGCAUGGGGGAGCAAACAGGAUUAGAUACCCUGGUAGUCCAUGCCCUAAACGAUGUCAACUAGUUGUCGGGUCUUAACGGGCUUGGUAACGUAGCUAACGCGUGAAGUUGACCGCCUGGGGAGUACGAUCGCAAGAUUA